RNAcentral lists this ribosomal RNA (208 nucleotides) under Clostridioides difficile. Its description in RNAcentral is "partial 23S ribosomal RNA". It matches the Rfam family "Bacterial large subunit ribosomal RNA", at positions 199 to 410 of the family's 2925-position model. The record is from RNAcentral. Lineage: Bacteria; Bacillati; Bacillota; Clostridia; Peptostreptococcales; Peptostreptococcaceae.
CAUCUAAGUACCUGAAGGAAGAGAAAGAAAUUCGAUUCCGUAAGUAGCGGCGAGCGAACGCGGAUUAGCCCAAACCAAUACAGUUUUCUUUAUUGGGGUUGCGGACAUAUCAUAACGAAGAGGUAUCGUAAUUGAAGAGGUUUGGAAAGACCCACCACAGAAGGUAAUAGUCCUGUAUGUUAAACGAGAAGACUUUAGAUAUGAUCCA